This 260-nucleotide long non-coding RNA is filed under the name Mytilus galloprovincialis (Mediterranean mussel). The record is from RNAcentral. Lineage: Eukaryota; Metazoa; Mollusca; Bivalvia; Mytilida; Mytilidae.
GUCCGAUAAAUCAUAAUGUAGAUCUUUUCGUAAUUCCUGCCUAAUUUUUAUUUUCAAUAUUUUAAAGAGGAUGGAGAUGUAAGAAAACAUUAAUUAUGUAAAUCAUACAGUAGGCCUUUUUAUAGAUCCGGUCUCUAACCUUGUUGUUUUUUUACAGUUUUAAGUCAGCCAUACAAAUGCGGUUAAACAUUAAAACAUUAUUCAAUGUUAAAUCCUUACACAAGUUGAUUUCAAGGUCAUGUUUUCAUGUUUAUAAUAAU